AUUGAACGCUGGCGGCAGGCCUAACACAUGCAAGUCGAGCGGUAGAGAGGUGCUUGCAUCUCUUGAGAGCGGCGGACGGGUGAGUAAUGCCUAGGAAUCUGCCUAGUGGUGGGGGAUAACGUUCGGAAACGGACGCUAAUACCGCAUACGUCCUACGGGAGAAAGCGGGGGAUCUUCGGUCCUCGCGCCAUUAGAUGAGCCUAGGUCGGAUUAGCUAGUUGGUGAGGUAAUGGCUCACCAAGGCGACGAUCCGUAACUGGUCUGAGAGGAUGAUCAGUUACACUGGAACUGAGACACGGUCCAGACUCCUACGGGAGGCAGCAGUGGGGAAUAUUGGACAAUGGGCGAAAGCCUGAUCCAGCCAUGCCGCGUGUGUGAAGAAAGGUCUUCGGAUUGUAAAGCACUUUAAGUUGGGUAGGAAGGGUAGUAACCUAAUACGUUGCUACUUGACGUUACCGACAGAAUAAGCACCGGCUAACUUCGUGCCAGCAGCCG
RNAcentral lists this ribosomal RNA (495 nucleotides) under uncultured bacterium. RNAcentral describes it as "bacterial SSU rRNA". It matches the Rfam family "Bacterial small subunit ribosomal RNA", at positions 30 to 517 of the family's 1533-position model. The record is from RNAcentral.